GAUGAACGCUGGCGGCGUGCCUAAUACAUGCAAGUCGAGCGAACGGACGAGAAGCUUGCUUUUCUGAUGUUAGCGGCGGACGGGUGAGUAACACGUGGAUAACCUACCUAUAAGACUGGGAUAACUUCGGGAAACCGGAGCUAAUACCGGAUAAUAUUUUGAACCGCAUGGUUCAAAAGUGAAAGACGGUCUUGCUGUCACUUAUAGAUGGAUCCGCGCUGCAUUAGCUAGUUGGUAAGGUAACGGCUUACCAAGGCAACGAUGCAUAGCCGACCUGAGAGGGUGAUCGGCCACACUGGAACUGAGACACGGUCCAGACUCCUACGGGAGGCAGCAGUAGGGAAUCUUCCGCAGUGGGCGAAAGCCUGACGGAGCAACGCCGCGUGAGUGAUGAAGGUCUUCGGAUCGUAAAACUCUGUUAUUAGGGAAGAACAUAUGUGUAAGUAACUGUGCACAUCUUGACGGUACCUAAUCAGAAAACCACGGCUAACUACGUG
This 497-nucleotide ribosomal RNA is filed under the name uncultured bacterium. Its description in RNAcentral is "partial 16S ribosomal RNA". It matches the Rfam family "Bacterial small subunit ribosomal RNA", at positions 28 to 507 of the family's 1533-position model. The record is from RNAcentral.